CAUAAAAUUAGAGAUGAAAUGAUUGAAUGAAGUCGGCAUAAUAAAAAAGUAAGUAGAUAGUUAUUGCGUAAGAAAGGAAACGUACUCGGAAUUAUGUUGCUGCUGUUGAAAGUACUGACGGGCCGCCGUGACACUGGCGAUCGUCAGUGU
Molecule: non-coding RNA, 150 nt
Organism: Caenorhabditis elegans
Lineage: Eukaryota; Metazoa; Nematoda; Chromadorea; Rhabditida; Rhabditidae
Source: Ensembl